This 277-nucleotide ribosomal RNA is filed under the name uncultured bacterium. RNAcentral describes it as "partial 16S ribosomal RNA". It matches the Rfam family "Bacterial small subunit ribosomal RNA", at positions 69 to 339 of the family's 1533-position model. The record is from RNAcentral.
AGCACGGGGGGCAACCCUGGUGGCGAGUGGCGAACGGGUGAGGUAAUACAUCGGAACGUGUCUAUAAGUGGGGGGAUAACGCAUCGAAAAGGUGUGCUAAAUACCGCAUAAUCUCUCAGGGAGAAAAGCAGGGGGAUCGCAAGACCUUUGCGCUUUAGGGAGCGGCCGAUGCCUGAUUAGCUUGUUGGUAAGGUAAAGGCUUACCAAGGCUUCGAUCAGUAGCUGGUCUGAGAGGACGACCAGCCACACUGGGGACUGAGACACGGCCCCAGACUCC